This 715-nucleotide long non-coding RNA is filed under the name Mus spicilegus (steppe mouse). RNAcentral describes it as "lncRNA (ENSMSIG00000022800.1)". The record is from RNAcentral. Lineage: Eukaryota; Metazoa; Chordata; Mammalia; Rodentia; Muridae.
GUGGUCUUUCUCUUGAUUCCUUUUAGAAAUGGAAGAUGAUUAUCUGAACAUAUGCAUCAAAUCUGACAUUGUUAUACUCAACAUUCUAAGCUGACUCAUUAAACAGACUCUACUAAAGAAGAUAUCCACACAACCCAGCUGAGUACACAGAGGAAGUUACCACACAAGACGGGCUCUGCAGCCCAUUGGAUGGUCCUACUAAAAUGCUUGACCAUACAGGGAAUACCACGGAGUCAGAUCAGAGAGCUACUUGAAAACUCUAAACCAGCCACUCAGAUACCAGGAAAGCUUAUACUUCAGGGAGUUUCAACAUGUCUUCACUUGAACCAUUCACUUUAGGAUAAAACUUUCCAAGCACCCGUGAACUAAUGAUACCAUGUAGAGCGUCAAAGACAAAGUAAACAACUCACACUGAGAACUCAGUGGAGCAUCAGGAAACAGCUGUCAGAGUGAUGCGAUGAGUCCACCCAUUCAGCUAGGAACCACCAGGAAGUGUUCCUUCCCAUGAUGUGGUCUCCAACCUGAGUGAAUGCAGGUCAAAAAGGUCCAGACUCCAUAGAUGGAUGGGAGAUUCUAAAAGGACAUUUUAAAACUGAGAUGUAGGGCAUGCCAUGGGAGAAUAGGAUGAAAAACAAAUAGCUUUCUUGAAUAGUCAUUUUAAGGGCCUUCUGAUUGGCUUUCCUGUGUCUGGUGGUAUUGUGUCAGUCACAUCAAU